Molecule: unclassified non-coding RNA, 253 nt
Filed under: Candidatus Yanofskyibacteriota bacterium
Lineage: Bacteria; Candidatus Yanofskyibacteriota
Description: Candidatus Yanofskybacteria bacterium contains 16S-23S intergenic spacer region
Rfam family: Bacterial small subunit ribosomal RNA
Source: RNAcentral
AACAGAACCCCCAAGCGUUACCCGGAUUCAUUGGGCGUAAAGCGCCUGUAGCCGGUUGGCAAGUCCCAGGUUAAAUCCCGAGGGCUCAACCUUCGAACUGCCUGGGAAACUGCCAAACUAGAGGGUGUUAGGGGCUGAUGGAACUCUUGGUGGAGGGGUGAAAUCCGUUGAUAUCAAGAGGAACACCAAAAGCGAAGGCAUUCAGCUGGGGCAACCCUGACGGUGAGAGACGAAAGCGUGGGGAGCGAAAAGG